This 332-nucleotide ribosomal RNA is filed under the name Mantidactylus katae. RNAcentral's name for it is "partial 16S ribosomal RNA". It matches the Rfam family "Bacterial large subunit ribosomal RNA", at positions 2016 to 2516 of the family's 2925-position model. Lineage: Eukaryota; Metazoa; Chordata; Amphibia; Anura; Mantellidae. The record is from RNAcentral.
CUGUCUCCUUUUUCUAAUCAGUGAACUAAUCUUCCCGUGAAGAAGCGGGAAUAUCCCCAUAAGACGAGAAGACCCCAUGGAGCUUCAAACCCAAUUACACCCCUAACCCCUAUAACUACUUAACCCUUAGGAUUCUGUAUUAUUGGUUUUAGGUUGGGGCGACCACGGAGUACAACAAAACCUCCACAAUGAACGGAACUACUUCCUCAUCUGAGAGCUACAUCUCUAAGAAUUAAAAUAUUAACAUAAAAUGAUCCAUUUUUGAUCAAUGAACCAAGUUACCCUGGGGAUAACAGCGCAAUCCAUUUCAAGAGCCCCUAUCGACAAAUGGG